AACGCUGGCGGCGCGCUUAACACAUGCAAGUCGAGCGAGAACCGGGACUUCGGUCCCGGGGACAGCGGCGAACGGGUGAGUAACACGUGGGUAAUCUGCCCUCGGUUCUGGGAUAGCCCGGGGAAACCCGGAUUAAUACCGGAUAGCCUUUCGUGCUUUCGGGCGUGAAAGAAAAGGUAGCUUCGGCUUCUGACCGAGGAUGAGCCCGCGGCGGAUUAGCUUGUUGGUGGGUAACGGCCUACCAAGGCGACGAUCCGUAGCUGGUCUGAGAGGACGAUCAGCCGCACUGGGACUGAGACACGGCCCAGACUCCUACGGGAGGCAGCAGUGGGGAAUCUUGCGCAAUGGGCGAAAGCCUGACGCAGCGACGCCGCGUGGGGGAAGAAGGCCUUCGGGUUGUAAACCUCUUUCAGGUGGGACGAAGCCACUCGGGUGAAUAGCCUAGAGGGUGACGGUACCUCCAGAAGAAGCCCCGGCUAACUACGUGCCAGCAGCCGCAGUAA
RNAcentral lists this ribosomal RNA (503 nucleotides) under uncultured bacterium. Its description in RNAcentral is "partial 16S ribosomal RNA". It matches the Rfam family "Bacterial small subunit ribosomal RNA", at positions 32 to 523 of the family's 1533-position model. The record is from RNAcentral.